UACGUAGGGUGCGAGCGUUGUCCGGAAUUAUUGGGCGUAAAGGGCGCGUAGGCGGCCUGGCAAGUGGAAGGUGAAAUCCCUCGGCUUAACCGAGGAACUGCCCUCCAAACUGCUUGGCUUGAGACCGGGAGAGGUGAGUGGAAUUCCCAGUGUAGCGGUGAAAUGCGUAGAUAUUGGGAGGAACACCAGUGGCGAAGGCGGCUCACUGGACCGGUACUGACGCUGAGGCGCGAAAGCGUGGGGAGCAAACGGG
RNAcentral lists this ribosomal RNA (253 nucleotides) under uncultured bacterium. RNAcentral's name for it is "partial 16S ribosomal RNA". It matches the Rfam family "Bacterial small subunit ribosomal RNA", at positions 524 to 776 of the family's 1533-position model. The record is from RNAcentral.